Molecule: transfer RNA, 69 nt
Filed under: Columba livia (rock pigeon)
Lineage: Eukaryota; Metazoa; Chordata; Aves; Columbiformes; Columbidae
Description: tRNA-His
Rfam family: tRNA
About the family: Transfer RNA (tRNA) molecules are approximately 80 nucleotides in length. Their secondary structure includes four short double-helical elements and three loops (D, anti-codon, and T loops).
Source: RNAcentral
GCAGGUAUAGUUUAACCCAAGCAUUAGACUGUGAUCUUAAAAAUAGAAGUUAGACCCUUCUUACCUGCC